Molecule: ribosomal RNA, 558 nt
Filed under: uncultured bacterium
Lineage: Bacteria
Description: bacterial SSU rRNA
Rfam family: Bacterial small subunit ribosomal RNA
Source: RNAcentral
ACAUGCAAGUCGAACGAGAAAGUGGAGCAAUCCAUGAGUAAAGUGGCGCACGGGUGAGUAACACGUGACUAACCUACCCUUGAGUGGGGGAUAACCUAGGGAAACCUGGGCUAAUACCGCAUAACACCUAUGGGUCAAAGGAGCAAUUCGCUUAAGGAGGGGGUCGCGGCAGAUUAGUUAGUUGGCAGGGUAAUGGCCUACCAAGACGAUGAUCUGUAUCCGGCCUGAGAGGGCGCACGGACACACUGGAACUGAAACACGGUCCAGACUCCUACGGGAGGCAGCAGUGGGGAAUUUUGCGCAAUGGGGGAAACCCUGACGCAGCAACGCCGCGUGGAGGAUGAAGACCCUUGGGUCGUAAACUCCUUUCGAUCGGGACGAUAAUGACGGUACCGGAAGAAGAAGCCCCGGCUAACUUCGUGCCAGCAGCCGCGGUAAUACGAGGGGGGCAAGCGUUGUUCGGAAUUAUUGGGCGUAAAGGGUGUGUAGGCGGUUAGACAAGUCUCGUGUGAAAUCUUCGGGCUCAACUCGAAGUCUGCACGAGAAACUGUUUGGCUG